CAAGGGUGAUACAUUUUAGCUUGCUUUGGGCUCACUAAAAUCAUUUUUCUUCUCCUUCGACAAUUGUCAUACUAUCUUUUACACUCCCAAGAUUAAAUUGAAGAAUAUGGCAAGGUAAUAUCCUUCUGCUCGUUAUAGAAUGUACGCACAAGAUUGAAUCACAUUGCAAAAUUCUUCUAUCCUGCAUUUAUGCACUUGAGUUUUCUUACUGCUAGUCUAAAAUAUGGUAAUUCAGUGUCCCUAUCCAGUACACUUGACCAAAUAAUAUCAAUGUUGAUCUCAUGUUGUCUUUUAACAUGGCUGUAUUGUAUACUUCCUGAUGAAGACCGUUCCUUCUGGUGGUCAUAUUUCAACCCCUUUGUGUAGGACAACGUAGAAUUUGUGUAUGUCCACAAGAACUAAAUGUGUAAUAACAAUGAAAUGGUGAUGAUCUUGUUUAUUUUUAAAUUUAGGGAUCAACUUACAAUGCGAGCAAUAAAUUAGAGACUAGAACUAUUUUUCAUCGGAGCAGUAUUUGAAACCUAUAAAUUUCAUGGGUUAUAAUCCUUGCGUGAUAAUCCUAAAUCAUCGAGCACACUUAUCAUAUUAAAGGUUUUAAAGCUGUGCUGGAGAAGCAAUUGCUUGAAGAAUGGUAAACUUUUAUUCUAGAAAUGUUGUAUGUUUCAAAUUUAACAUUUUUCGGUAAACAAAAGGGAUUAUUAUUAUUAUUAUUAUUUAAGCUUGU
RNAcentral lists this long non-coding RNA (724 nucleotides) under Olea europaea subsp. europaea. The record is from RNAcentral. Lineage: Eukaryota; Viridiplantae; Streptophyta; Magnoliopsida; Lamiales; Oleaceae.